AGAAAAAGCAAAGUGCGCAGAGUAGAGGUGUAAGAGCCAGAGUAAUUUGUUUUUUUGGGGUGUUUUUUAAGAGUUGGUUAGGUGUUCAGUGAAGAGGUGGGUCUUUAGAUGUUUCUUGAAGAUGGUGACAGAUUCUGCGGUCUGGAUUGAGGUGGGAAGUUCAUUCCACCACUGAGGAACAGUUAGUGUGAAGGUUCUGCACUGUUAUAUGAUGAUAACUGAACACAGAGUGAUCAUGCUCCAGGUUAUUUUGUUUGCCAAUUACACAACAGAUCACAAGUCCAACAACCAAACACUGCUACAGAUUCUUUUAGAAUUUAAACGGCGGCUUGGAUGUUAAGGCUUUGGGUUACUGAUCGGAAGGUCGGGGGUUCAAGCCCCAGCACUGCCAGUCUUUUGGUUACUGAUCGGAAGGUCGGGGGUUCAAGCCCCAGCACUGCCAGGCUUUGGGUUACUGAUCGGAAGGUCAGGGGUUCAAGCCCCAGCACUGCCACUGUGAUAAAUUAAACCUUUUAUUUGUACUUGUGUUCGACGCACGUGAAUCGAAGCGGCCUUUGGCUGAAUGCGCAUUGUGAUGACGCAUUUUGGCCCAACUCUGCAUAAAUCUGUGGUCAUUUUGAAGAAUCGCAAGCUCCUGCGAAUAUUGCGAAGUUUCUUUGAU
Long non-coding RNA from Ictalurus punctatus (channel catfish), 661 nucleotides. NCBI's taxonomy places the organism in Eukaryota, Metazoa, Chordata, Actinopteri, Siluriformes, Ictaluridae. The record is from Ensembl.